GGCCGCCGUGGCCGAGUAGUAACGCUCGCGAUUUUCAUUCGUUAUGUUGUGGGUUCGAGGCCCACCAUGGUCU
Non-coding RNA from Halocaridina rubra (Hawaiian volcano shrimp), 73 nucleotides. Lineage: Eukaryota; Metazoa; Arthropoda; Malacostraca; Decapoda; Atyidae. The record is from the annotation of a GenBank genome assembly.